GAACGGGUUCGCGAAGUGGGCCGCGGCCUCCUCGUGGGCGACCGAGGCGGCGGGCACGCCGAGGCCCCGGCCGAUCGUCUCGGCAACCGUGCGC
This 94-nucleotide transfer RNA is filed under the name Streptomyces griseoaurantiacus. RNAcentral describes it as "tRNA-Thr". Lineage: Bacteria; Bacillati; Actinomycetota; Actinomycetes; Kitasatosporales; Streptomycetaceae. The record is from RNAcentral.